This 405-nucleotide ribosomal RNA is filed under the name uncultured bacterium. RNAcentral describes it as "bacterial SSU rRNA". It matches the Rfam family "Bacterial small subunit ribosomal RNA", at positions 355 to 774 of the family's 1533-position model. The record is from RNAcentral.
UGGGGGAUAUUGCACAAUGGAGGAAACUCUGAUGCAGCAACGCCGCGUGAGGGAAGAAGGUCUUCGGAUUGUAAACCUCAGUAGUCAGGGACGAAAGAAAUGACGGUACCUGAAGAGUAAGCUCCGGCUAACUACGUGCCAGCAGCCGCGGUAAUACGUAGGGAGCGAGCGUUGUCCGGAUUUACUGGGUGUAAAGGGUGCGUAGGCGGGAUAGCAAGUCAGACGUGAAAUACCGAGGCUUAACUUCGGGGCUGCGUUUGAAACUGUUAUUCGUGAGUGAAGUAGAGGCAGGCGGAAUUCCUAGUGUAGCGGUGAAAUGCGUAGAUAUUAGGAGGAACACCAGUGGCGAAGGCGGCCUGCUGGGCUUUAACUGACGCUGAGGCACGAAAGCAUGGGGAGCAAACA